UACAGAGGAGCCAAGCGUUGUCCGGAUUGACUGGGCGUAAAGCGCACGCAGGCGGUCGUGCGCGUGGGGUGUGAAAUCUGGCCGCUUAACGGCCAGGCGCCAUCCCAUACGGCACGACUGGAGGGCUGCAGAGGUCGAUGGAAUUGCCGGUGUAGUGGUGAAAUGCGUAGAUAUCGAGAGGAACACCAGUGGCGAAGGCGAGUCCCUGGACAACUCCUGACACUGAGGCACGAAAGCUAGGGGAGCAAACAGG
RNAcentral lists this ribosomal RNA (253 nucleotides) under uncultured bacterium. RNAcentral's name for it is "partial 16S ribosomal RNA". It matches the Rfam family "Bacterial small subunit ribosomal RNA", at positions 524 to 776 of the family's 1533-position model. The record is from RNAcentral.